GGGAUAAGCCAUGCGAGUCAACAUAGCAAUAUGUGGCAUACGGCUCAGUAACACGUAGUCAACAUGCCCAGGGGACGUGGAUAACCUCGGGAAACUGAGAAUAAACCACGAUAGGUCAUCACUUCUGGAAUGGGUAAUGACUUAAAUCUACAUGGCCCCUGGAUUGGACUGCGGCCGAUCAGGCUGUUGGUGAGGUAAUGGCCCACCAAACCUGUAACCGGUACGGGCUCUGAGAGGAGGAGCCCGGAGAUGGGCACUGAGACAAGGGCCCAGGCCCUAUGGGGCGCAGCAGGCGCGAAACCUCUGCAAUAGGCGAAAGCUUGACAGGGUUACUCUGAGUGAUUUCCGUUAAGGAGAUCUUUUGGCACCUCUAAAAAUGGUGCAGGAUAAGGGGUGGGCAAGUCUGGUGUCAGCCGCCGCGGUAAUACCAGCACCCCGAGUGGUCGGGACGUUUAUUGGGCCUAAAGCAUCCGUAGCCGGUUCUACAAGUCUUCCGUUAAAUCCACCUGCUUAACAGAUGGGCUGCGGAAGAUACUAUAG
This 540-nucleotide ribosomal RNA is filed under the name uncultured archaeon. Its description in RNAcentral is "bacterial SSU rRNA". It matches the Rfam family "Archaeal small subunit ribosomal RNA", at positions 41 to 589 of the family's 1478-position model. The record is from RNAcentral.